Molecule: long non-coding RNA, 425 nt
Organism: Tympanuchus pallidicinctus (lesser prairie-chicken)
Lineage: Eukaryota; Metazoa; Chordata; Aves; Galliformes; Phasianidae
Exons: 2
Source: RefSeq, a predicted model, not a curated record
UGCUCUGUCACAGUGAUAAAGAUCAUGUGCCUUACUGGGACCCUACAGAAAUGCAUUUCCCAAUCUAUGUUCUGGAGCUGGAUGUUACCACCGGCCCUGCAGUGGAGCCUGUUCUGCCUCAUGCAGCAAGAAGAUCAUGUUUCUACUCUCCUCAUGACCUGAUGGGUGCAUCGAUUUGAAGACAGCAUUGGAGAAGUGAAGCUGAAAAGCUGAACUGCAGGAUGGAGAGGUAGGAGGGUCACCUCGUAAUUUGCUGGGGCUAAGCUUGUGAUGCUGGCAUGCAUGCUGCAGAAAGCUGCCUGAGUUUUGGCAAAGAGCUGCAGCUCUUACUGAAGGGCUAUAGGAUGCUAUUUUUCUCCUCUUUCUGUACUGUCUUUCUUAUUUUAUAGUAGGUUUUUUUUUCUUUUUUUUCUUUUCUUCACCCC